This 63-nucleotide transfer RNA is filed under the name Nereis zonata. RNAcentral's name for it is "tRNA-Phe". The record is from RNAcentral. Lineage: Eukaryota; Metazoa; Annelida; Polychaeta; Phyllodocida; Nereididae.
ACUCAAGUAGCUUAAAUAAAAGCGUUACAUUGAAGACGUAAUUAUGGCAUCAGCCCUAGAGUA